UACGUAGGGGGCAAGCGUUGUCCGGAAUCAUUGGGCGUAAAGCGCGCGUAGGCGGCCCUGUAAGUCCGUUGUGAAAGUCAAAGGCUCAACCUUUGAAAGCCGAUGGAUACUGCAGGGCUAGAGUACGGAAGAGGCGAGUGGAAUUCCUGGUGUAGCGGUGGAAUGCGCAGAUAUCAGGAGGAACACCAAUAGCGAAGGCAGCUCGCUGGGCCGUUACUGACGCUGAGGCGCGAAAGCGUGGGGAGCGAACAGG
This 253-nucleotide ribosomal RNA is filed under the name uncultured bacterium. RNAcentral describes it as "partial 16S ribosomal RNA". It matches the Rfam family "Bacterial small subunit ribosomal RNA", at positions 524 to 776 of the family's 1533-position model. The record is from RNAcentral.